Molecule: ribosomal RNA, 484 nt
Filed under: uncultured bacterium
Lineage: Bacteria
Description: partial 16S ribosomal RNA
Rfam family: Bacterial small subunit ribosomal RNA
Source: RNAcentral
AUUGAACGCUGGCGGCAGGCCUAACACAUGCAAGUCGAGCGGAUGAAGGGAGCUUGCUCCUGGAUUCAGCGGCGGACGGGUGAGUAAUGCCUAGGAAUCUGCCUGGUAGUGGGGGAUAACGUCCGGAAACGGGCGCUAAUACCGCAUGCGUCCUGAGGGAGAAAGUGGGGGAUCUUCGGACCUCACGCUAUCAGAUGAGCCUAGGUCGGAUUAGCUAGUUGGUGGGGUAAAGGCCUACCAAGGCGUCGAUCCGUAACUGGUCUGAGAGGAUGAUCAGUCACACUGGAACUGAGACACGGUCCAGACUCCUACGGGAGGCAGCAGUGGGGAAUAUUGGACAAUGGGCGAAAGCCUGAUCCAGCCAUGCCGCGUGUGUGAAGAAGGUCUUCGGAUUGUAAAGCACUUUAAGUUGGGAGGAAGGGCAGUAAGUUAAUACCUUGCUGUUUUGACGUUACCAACAGAAUAAGCACCGGCUAACUUCGUG